AGCUCUGGAGUGAGGAGAGGCAUCAGCUAAACCCCUCACCCAGACAGGUAGAGGCAGAAGACUGCUCAGAGCCCCCGCGCAUCCCCCAUAGUCCCUGAGAGCGGGGCAUCUGCUUUGAUGUUAGUUUCUGGGCCUGCUCCUGCUGGUUCCAGAACCUCCUCUUCUGCAACUUCUGAAAUGGAAAGCAUGCUUCUCAGAGCCUCCCUCAAGGCCUCGGAAGGUGAGGAAGUUGGCCAUUUUCUUCCUGUAGUCAGCCUCUGCUGGACAUCCUUCUUGGCUCAUCUUCUCUGCAGUUCUCAUGGAUAAGGAACCUGGAGUUCUCUGCCUGGAUGUCUUGUCUUUCAAAUCUCUGAGUGCUCGCGCAGUGUCAUGACCUCAAUCUUCCAGCAAUAAUCCCCUCUGUUACAUCCAUGCUCAUCUGGCAUGGGGAUAAGGGAAGCUGGGAAGUCUGGUCUCAGUGAUCCCAUCCAUAUAGCUAAGUCAAAAUACCCUGUCCCUGUGGAUAGGACCUGAGUUUGGAGAAGCCACCAAGAGGAAGCUGGAAGUAAGAGCCCCAGGUAUCUGCUCAGGGCUGGACCCUAAGCUAAAAGCCCCUAAGCAUCCCUCCACACUCAAGUCCUCUGACAUCAGUCUGUUUCAAUGUUCUCUUUCUCGGCCUCCUUCUCUGGGACUCUUUUGAGCUUUCCUUUCUAUCUGUUUAUCUUUCUGUGUACCCUUCCUUCUGUCUUUCUACAUCACUCUCUCCAUUUCUAUUUCCUUCUUUCUGUCAUUGGGAGGUUCUGCCUUCACUUAACUUUGCCUCUACAUCAGCCUUCCUCAUUUUCUAUCCUUCUAUUUCUCCCUCCUUCUAUUUCCCCAUCUAAUGUAAAGUCUAUUUAACAUAUAUGUCUUUUUCUUUCCCCCUUCCCUGUCUCAGUUUGUGUCUUCACCUCUAUUUUCUUCCUUGGUCUUUCGAUCCACCUUAUCUCUCUCUUUUUCUAAGCAAGCUCUACGCCCAACAUCAGGCUCGAACUCAGGACCCGGAGAUCAAGAGUCGCACGCUCCACUGACAGAGCCAGCCAAACUCCCCUCUCUCUGCUUUUCUAUCCUGUUCUGCUUCUGGUGCAUUUCAUUCUCAAUCUCUUCCAUUUCUAUUUCCCUUUCUGUGCUUGCCUCCCUUCCAAUCUUCUGGCUCUAGCUGUGUAUUCAUUUCCUAUCUCUUUCUGCCUCCCCAAAUCUGGCUUUCUCUCUCUCUCCCUGGGUCCUGCAGGUGCCUCUACACCAUGCCUGUGUCAUGCCCAUCUCAUUACUGCACAAGGUCCAGGACACUGAGUCCUCUGAUGUCUGUCUGUCUCACACACACCCCAUGCCCUGGAGUGAGCAGAGCUGGACACAGCUACCAGAAUUGUCCUUCCUUUCCCCACCAUCUAGGCCAUCCAUCUCAACUCAGCUCCAAGCCCAAACUUUUAAAAAAUGAUGUUUCUUCCAAUUUCUUAUUCUGAAAAUUGGCAAUUAAAAAGAAAAAGAAUUGGGGUGCUUGGCUGGCUCAGUUGGUGGAGUGUGUAACUCUUGAUCUUGGGGUUGUAGGCUCAAGCCCCACGUUGGGUAUACAGAUUACGUAAAAAUAAAAUCUUUGGGAAAAAAAAAACAAUUAGGUAUUUAUGCUGCCUGUGCUGUAUAAACUAUAUUUCAGGGUAGCCAAAUAGCUCUUAAGAAGAAUUCCAGCUAAUGUGGAAGGAAUACGGAAUUAGAAAAAUCAUUGGGCAGCCCCUGAUCAAAUAAUUGAUCAAAGCAAGAAUCAUGAAUGGAUGAAACCAAAGAUGAUGGUUGAUGGUGAACUUUACAAUGGAGGAAUCAAGCCGUGACCACCUAACCCCACUGAGGAAUCUUACCAUCACUAAAAGGGGUAUAACCCCUCUACUGUGUACCUCCUGGGGUGAUGCAAUCUGAAGCACUCAGCACCACCCAUGAAAGACUCUUGCCAAACAAAGGAACAAACACACACACAAAACUGAACAUGAUUCUAAUCAAACCUCUAAAACCAACCUCCAUUUAACAGGAAAUAUCAGGGAUGGAGGAACAAUUUAAAUGACACAACGAGGAAGUAAGAAGACACAUCCAGAGAGUGGGAACUUUUCAAGGAAAUGUGGCUCAAUUUCUUCAACUAGUCAAUGGCUAGGGGGGAAAAUUGAGAGAGGACAUAAAAGGACUACUAUUAUAUGGGGCAUGUGGACUCUUGGUUCCUGAUUGGAUAACCCAAUUGUAAAAAGACAGUUUCAGACAGUUGGAGCCUUUUACUUACGGACUGGAGAAUGCCAAGGAGUCGGUAUUGAUUUUGUUAGACAUAAAAUGGCUUCAGGGUUUUGUAAGAAAAGGGCCUUAUUUCCUAGGGGUGCAUAUUGAAGUAUGGAGUGAAGUGACAUACUUACUUUUAAAUAUUUGGGCAGAUAAAAAAAAGGACGGAAUUAAAGGAAUAGAAGCAAUGAAGUGACAGAAUUGUAUUAUUGAAUUAACUAUGUAGGGGUUCAUAGAACUCUGCUCUCUACCUGUGUGUAUGUUUAAACAUUUUCAUAAUAAAAGUUUUAAAUGUUG
This is a long non-coding RNA of Herpailurus yagouaroundi (jaguarundi), 2571 nucleotides long. RefSeq lists it as uncharacterized. The transcript has 2 exons. The record is from RefSeq and is a predicted model, not a curated record. NCBI's taxonomy places the organism in Eukaryota, Metazoa, Chordata, Mammalia, Carnivora, Felidae.